CCCCACACACGAGGAAGAGGGAACCAGGACGGCUUGGAGUGAGGACCAGACAGGGCCGUGGGGACAAGGAGGCAGGGGGCGGCCAGCAAAGCAAGACCUGGGUCACCGGGGAAGGAAACCAGCUCUGCCGCAUGUGGAGACGAGCCAACGGGAACACAGGCAGGGGCUCACGAGGCACUCAACAGGCCCCGCCCUCCAAAGCAGCCAGCGCUCUUCGGAACUGCAAGUUGCCAUGGUGCCCAUCUCCCAGGCUCCAUCUGGUGCCCGCCUGGCAUCAGUCCACACCCCUCUAACACCUUCGCCCAUGCCCUCCUGGCCCCUCUCCUGGCGGGCCCUUCCCUCAUGGGACACACUGGAUGAGU
This is a long non-coding RNA of Homo sapiens (human), 362 nucleotides long. The record is from Ensembl. NCBI's taxonomy places the organism in Eukaryota, Metazoa, Chordata, Mammalia, Primates, Hominidae.